UGGGUUUACAAUUACUUUCUUUUUAUUUCAAAAAGCUGUGAGAACAUUGCACAAAAGAGCAAGGAACUACACAAUUAACUGAGCAUAGAAGGAAAUAUUGAAAAUGACUGUAUACAAAGCUUUGGUAAGAGUACAAAAGAGAACUAGAAUAAAGGAAAACACAUUUGCCUAAUCACUGAUCUAUUACUGAAUAUAAUGGAAGUAAGUGUAGCUAAAUUCUGAAAUUGGCAUGACUUUUAAUGAGCAGCAUGCUUCUCUAAGGUGCGUGCCUGUGUACUUCUUGGAAUGGAAGCUCAGAGCUGACUAUCUCAUGUGGAAGUGUUAGCUUGAAAGUCAGGCUUUUCCCUUUUGUAUUUUUUAAGCUUUUCUGUAUUGCAACUUCCACGGGGAACUUGACAACUCAAACUGUAACUAAAACACCAGAGAGAAAUUACAAGGUUUCCCUUUUCAUGAGUAAUGAGAUACAAAACCCACCUACCUCCCUGCUCUGCUCUGCAGGUGUUCACCACCUUUAUUUUCAGGCAGUCCAACUGAUUACUUAAACAACUCUAUCUAAAUUGUUUUGUCUUUUUUUUUUUUUUCUUUCUUUGAAUCUUGCAUUUUGUUGCUUCUUUUCAGCCGCAGCAAGGAAAUAGGUCAAAAGAUGUGUUUGCUUUUCCUAACUGUAUUGGCAGGCCUGAUGAACAGCGUUCUUUCUGCACUGACAAAAAUGAAGACAUUUGUGUUUAAAAAGAAAAAAAAAGGUAGUUAAAGAGAGAUUACUACACACUUGCCUUUACUACCUUAACUGCAGAAAGGCGCAGUGCUGUUGAUUUUCUAGGUAAUCCCCAAAAACUUUCUGCUUGAACCUAAAUUAAACUGAAAACGGCUAAAGCUGGUGAAGGGUAAAGGCCGGAAGGAUCAUAUCCGAGGUGUGCGGGUCUGAAGUUGUGCCCUCACUUGAAGGCGCAACUCUGGUGCCCCUGCACACCACCUCCACCAGCACUGACAGAAACCGGCGAUCCCAGCUCCUCCGGCUUUUGUGGCCGCCACAGGCUUCCCCCUGACCGGGGGGAUCCCCGAGGAGGUUUUGGAGGGGGACCCGGGCCGGGACAGCCGCGCUGUGGGCGAACAACCUCACCCACCCCACCAUUUUGUCGCUGGGGGAGGCCUGGCAAGGCACGGCGCGAGAGGGAAAACCUGGGAGCAGCGCGGCUGGGCACAGGGACACCGCCGAGAAGGGGGGCCGGGGGGAGGCCGGCGCGAUCCCCGGCCCUGAGGGGAGCGUCCCCCGACCCGGCCCCGCCGCUCGUCGCCCCCUCCCCUUCCUUUCUUUCCCUCCCCUUCCCGGCAGGGCAAGGCGAGGCGAGGCGCGGGGCCAGUGGCCGUGGUGGCCCGGCGGCAGGUGUAGGCGCACGGCGGCGGCAGCACCCCCCCAGCCCUUCAGCCCCGCUCCCCGCCGCGACAGGCCGGCCGUCGGAGCGAGGGAAGCGCCUGCGCUCUCUGGGGCUGCGGCGAGCGUCGAGGAUCGCUGGAGCAGUGAAUUUCUCCUGCCCGAGUAACGGGGAACGGGACAAACCCGCUGCGGCUCUCAGGUGGAGGUGCUGCCGAACAUGCUGCUUUUUAUUCACGCGAGGGCUCCUGUAG
This is a long non-coding RNA of Anser cygnoides (Swan goose), 1626 nucleotides long. Lineage: Eukaryota; Metazoa; Chordata; Aves; Anseriformes; Anatidae. The record is from Ensembl.